CCUACGGGGGGCUGCAGUAGGGAAUAUUGGACAAUGGAGGCAACUCUGAUCCAGCCAUCCCGCGUGAAGGAUUAAGGUCCUAUGGAUUGUAAACUUCUUUUCUCUGGGAAUAAAAACUCCGUUUCUACGGAGCUUGAAGGUACCAGAGGAAUAAGCACCGGCUAACUCCGUGCCAGCAGCCGCGGUAAUACGGAGGGUGCAAGCGUUAUCCGGUGUCAAGGGGGCGUAGGUGACCGUAGAUGGCUUUGUUGAAAUGUCGCAGCUUAACUGCGAAACUGCCAUUGAUACUGUUUAGCUUGAAUCAAGUUGAGGUGGAUGGAAUAUUACAUGUAGCGGUGAAAUGCUUAGAUAUGUAAUAGAACACCAAUUGCGAAGGCAGUUCACUAAACUUGUAUUGACACUGAGGCUCGAAAGCGUGGGGAUCAAACAGGAUUAGAUACCCUAGUAGUC
RNAcentral lists this ribosomal RNA (450 nucleotides) under uncultured bacterium. RNAcentral describes it as "partial 16S ribosomal RNA". It matches the Rfam family "Bacterial small subunit ribosomal RNA", at positions 338 to 795 of the family's 1533-position model. The record is from RNAcentral.